Molecule: ribosomal RNA, 531 nt
Filed under: Bacillus cereus
Lineage: Bacteria; Bacillati; Bacillota; Bacilli; Caryophanales; Bacillaceae
Description: bacterial SSU rRNA
Rfam family: Bacterial small subunit ribosomal RNA
Source: RNAcentral
AACACGUGGGUAACCUGCCCAUAAGACUGGGAUAACUUUCGGGAAACCGGGGCUAAUACCGGAUAACAUUUUGAACCGCAUGGUUCGAAAUUGAAAGGCGGCUUCGGCUGUCACUUAUGGAUGGACCCGCGUCGCAUUAGCUAGUUGGUGAGGUAACGGCUCACCAAGGCAACGAUGCGUAGCCGACCUGAGAGGGUGAUCGGCCACACUGGGACUGAGACACGGCCCAGACUCCUACGGGAGGCAGCAGUAGGGAAUCUUCCGCAAUGGACGAAAGUCUGACGGAGCAACGCCGCGUGAGUGAUGAAGGCUUUCGGGUCGUAAAACUCUGUUGUUAGGGAAGAACAAGUGCUAGUUGAAUAAGCUGGCACCUUGACGGUACCUAACCAGAAAGCCACGGCUAACUACGUGCCAGCAGCCGCGGUAAUACGUAGGUGGCAAGCGUUAUCCGGAAUUAUUGGGCGUAAAGCGCGCGCAGGUGGUUUCUUAAGUCUGAUGUGAAAGCCCACGGCUCAACCGUGGAGGGUCAUU